UACGGAAGAGGCAAGCGUUAUCCGGAAUUAUUGGGCGUAAAGCGUCCGCAGGCGGCCUUGCAAGUCUGCUGUUAAAGAGUACAGCUCAACUGCGUUUCGGCGAUGGAAACUGCAGGACUGGAGUGCGGUAGGGGCAGAGGGAAUUCCCGGUGUAGCGGUGAAAUGCGUAGAUUUCGGGAAGAACACCAGUGGCGAAGGCGCUCUGCUGGGCCGUAACUGACGCUCAUGGACGAAAGCUAGGGG
RNAcentral lists this ribosomal RNA (243 nucleotides) under uncultured cyanobacterium. RNAcentral describes it as "partial 16S ribosomal RNA". It matches the Rfam family "Bacterial small subunit ribosomal RNA", at positions 524 to 766 of the family's 1533-position model. Lineage: Bacteria; Bacillati; Cyanobacteriota. The record is from RNAcentral.